UUCUUCCUCCGGUACCGUCAAGGCGAGGUUGCCCCGCCCUUCUUCCCGCAGAAAAGGGGUUUACACCCGAAGGGCGUCAUCCCCCACGCGGCGUUGCUCCGUCAGGGUUGCCCCCAUUGCGGAAGAUUCCUUG
Molecule: ribosomal RNA, 133 nt
Filed under: uncultured bacterium
Lineage: Bacteria
Description: partial 16S ribosomal RNA
Source: RNAcentral